RNAcentral lists this non-coding RNA (28 nucleotides) under Mus musculus (house mouse). The record is from RNAcentral. Lineage: Eukaryota; Metazoa; Chordata; Mammalia; Rodentia; Muridae.
UGAUAUUUCUAGCUACGGUUUGCCCUAU